GGUUUCCCUUUACGAAUUGUAGUUUAAAGAAGUGUUUUCUGUUGAGGUUUUGGUAAAAGUUCUUUGGAAUAGGACAUCAUAGAGGGUGAGAAUCCCGUAUUUGACCUUUACUUUCAACUUUGUGAUACACUUUCAAAGAGUCGGAUUGUUUGGGAAUGCAGUCCAAAAUGGGUGGUAAAUUUCAUCUAAAGCUAAAUAUUGGCGAGAGACCGAUAGCGAACAAGUACCGUGAGGGAAAGAUGAAAAGAACUUUGAAAAGAGAGUUAAACAGUACGUGAAAUUGUCAAAAGGGAAGCGUUUGACACCAGUGUUGUUUUUCUGAAAAUCAAUUAAAGAACUGUUUAUGCUAAGCUGUUUAGACUUUAUCAGCUAUCUGUUUAGUUUUGAGCUUUUCUUU
RNAcentral lists this ribosomal RNA (397 nucleotides) under uncultured Neocallimastigomycetes. Its description in RNAcentral is "eukaryotic LSU rRNA". It matches the Rfam family "Eukaryotic large subunit ribosomal RNA", at positions 127 to 521 of the family's 3401-position model. The record is from RNAcentral. Lineage: Eukaryota; Fungi; Neocallimastigomycota; Neocallimastigomycetes.